ACGGCUCAGUAACACGUGGAUGACCUGCCCUCAGGUCCGGCAUAACCUCGGGAAACUGAGGAUAAUUCCGGAUAUCCCUUUUCUGCUGGAAGGCUUAAAGGGACAAAGAAUUUCGCCUGAGGAUGGGUCUGCGGCCUAUCAGGUUGUAGGGGGUGUAACGUACCCUCUAGCCGACAACGGGUACGGGUUGUGAGAGCAAGAGCCCGGAGAUGGAUUCUGAGACAUGAAUCCAGGCCCUACGGGGCGCAGCAGGCGCGAAAACUUUACAAUGCAGGAAACUGUGAUAAGGGAACACCGAGUGCUCGCAUCAAAUGCGGGCUGUCCACAUACCUAAAUCGUAUGUGUUAGCAAGGGCCGGGCAAGACCGGUGCCAGCCGCCGCGGUAAUACCGGUGGCCCGAGUGGUAGCCGCUUUUAUUGGGUCUAAAGGUCCGUAGCCUGUCUGAUCAGUCCAUUGGGAAAUCCGGAUGCUCAACAUCCGGGCUUCCAGUGGAUACUGUCAGACUUGGGAUCGGGGGAGGUAAGAGGUACUACA
Molecule: ribosomal RNA, 534 nt
Filed under: uncultured euryarchaeote
Lineage: Archaea; Methanobacteriati; Methanobacteriota
Description: bacterial SSU rRNA
Rfam family: Archaeal small subunit ribosomal RNA
Source: RNAcentral